RNAcentral lists this transfer RNA (73 nucleotides) under Erinaceus europaeus (western European hedgehog). RNAcentral describes it as "tRNA-Lys (CTT) (tRNA-Lys-CTT-55-1)". It matches the Rfam family "tRNA". Rfam says of the family: Transfer RNA (tRNA) molecules are approximately 80 nucleotides in length. The record is from Rfam by way of RNAcentral. Lineage: Eukaryota; Metazoa; Chordata; Mammalia; Eulipotyphla; Erinaceidae.
GUCCAGCUAGCUCAGUCGGUAGAGCAUGAGACUCUUAAUCUCAGGGUCGUGGGUUCAUGCCCCACGUUGGGCG